AGCAGCCGCGGUAAUUCCAGCUCCAAUAGCGUAUAUUAAAGUUGUUGCAGUUAAAAAGCUCGUAGUUGAAUUUCGGGGUCAGUAGGCUGGUCAUGCCACCGGUAUGUACUGGUCUUACUGAUUCCUCCUUCCUGACGAACCGUAAUGCCAUUAAUUUGGUGUUGCGGGGAAUUUGGACUGUUACUUUGAAAAAAUUAGAGUGUUUAAAGCAGGCUAACGCUUGAAUACAUUAGCAUGGAAUAAUGGAAUAGGACGUUCGAUCCUAUUUUGUUGGUUUCUAGGAUUGACGUAAUGAUUAAUAGGGAUAGUUGGGGGCAUUAGUAUUCAAUUGUCAGAGGUGAAAUUCUUGGAUUUAUUGAAGACUAACUACUGCGAAAGCAUUUGCCAAGGAUGUUUUCAUUAAUCAAGAACGAAAGUUAGGGGAUCGAAGACGAUCAGAUACCGUCGUAGUCUUAACCAUAAACUAUGCCGACUAGGGAUCGGAUGAUGUUAAUUUUUUAAUGUACUCAUUCGGCGCCUU
This 520-nucleotide ribosomal RNA is filed under the name uncultured Glomeromycotina. RNAcentral's name for it is "SSU rRNA". It matches the Rfam family "Eukaryotic small subunit ribosomal RNA", at positions 569 to 1089 of the family's 1831-position model. The record is from RNAcentral. Lineage: Eukaryota; Fungi; Glomeromycota.